Molecule: non-coding RNA, 342 nt
Organism: Phascolarctos cinereus (koala)
Lineage: Eukaryota; Metazoa; Chordata; Mammalia; Diprotodontia; Phascolarctidae
Source: RefSeq, a predicted model, not a curated record
CCAGUGAGACAGACCUUUCCUGCCAUGCUGGCCAAGGUGGUGGGACAGAAGCUACCUCAGGAGUAUGAAAAUAUGCAACACCAUUAUGAUGCUGUUGAAAUUUGGAAGAAAAAGACUAUGACCUUGAAAAGCAAGAAUAGAACAAAUACUACUAGCACAUUUGGGGGGGAAAGGGGGAAUUUGAAGUAUUGAUGUCAAGGUUAAUUCUUAACUGCUGAAGAACAAAUGGCUUUGAAGAGAUAAUUUAGUAAUUAUCUUCCCUGAUAUCAACUAAAUUUCUGGGCUAAGUUUUAACACCUGCCUAUCUAGAAUAUCCAUAGAAUCUGUAUGUAGUACAUUAAA